RNAcentral lists this ribosomal RNA (253 nucleotides) under uncultured bacterium. RNAcentral's name for it is "partial 16S ribosomal RNA". It matches the Rfam family "Bacterial small subunit ribosomal RNA", at positions 524 to 776 of the family's 1533-position model. The record is from RNAcentral.
UACGGGGGGGGCAAGCGUUGUUCGGAAUUACUGGGCGUAAAGGGCUCGUAGGUGGCCAACUAAGUCAGACGUGAAAUCCCUCGGCUCAACUGAGGAACUGCCUUUGAAACUGUCUGGCUUGAGGCCGGGAGAGGGUAGCGGAAUUCCCAGUGUAGCGGUGAAAUUCGUAGAUAUUAGGAAGAACACCAGUGGCGAAGGCGGCUCACUGGCCCGGUACUGACGCUGAGGCGCGAAAGCGUGGGGAGCGAUCCGG